Acipenser ruthenus (sterlet) is the source of this 1276-nucleotide long non-coding RNA. RefSeq lists it as uncharacterized. The transcript has 3 exons. The record is from RefSeq and is a predicted model, not a curated record. Lineage: Eukaryota; Metazoa; Chordata; Actinopteri; Acipenseriformes; Acipenseridae.
AGAAAAUGUGUAGUGAAAGAUUUGUCAUAGUUUUUCAUUUAUGGUUAUGUGGUAGAAAAUUCACAAAACAAGGUAUUCUAGACAAUGUUCAGAAGACAUAUUUUAUUAUUAUUUAUUUCUUAGCAGACGCCCUUAUCCAGGGCAACUUACAAUUGUCACUAGAUAUCACAUUAUUUUUACAUGCAAUUGCCCAUUAUACAGUUGGGUUUUUAUUGGAGCAAUCUAGGUAAAGUACCUUGCCCAAGAGUACAGCAACAGUGUCCCCAACCGGGGAUUGAACCCACAACCGUACAGUCAAGAGUCCAGAGCCCUAACCACUACUCCACACUGCUGCCCUAGCCACACAAGUGUUUAAAUAAACACGCCCUUUAGUUAAAAUGCCUGGCCAGGUAACUUCUUAAUUAUUGUAUCUAUUUAAUUAAGGAUUCCCCUUUAAGAAGGCUGAACUCCCAUGAGCCUUUGUUCUUUUUUAAACAGGUAGAGGGUGGAAGGGAGGCAGGUUUUGUGUUCUGGGUUCCUCCAUUUUGUGUAUGGCGGUGUGGUUUGUGUGCAGGUUCUCAAUGGGUUCCAGUUGGCUUUCAAGAUUUUAUUUACAAGAAAAUUAUAUUAAAUAAGAACUAUACGACAUUGGAGCAUCUCUUGGAUAACUUGUUGCUGUUGGACUGCCACUGGAACUACAGAAUAAGCAUCAACAAACAAACAGUCGGGUCUGUGACGAUGAGAAGGUCUCCACAGUCUGGAGUCUGGUCUCUGACAGGCUCAAUAUACCUGUCAAUCAACAGGGACUCCUCUACAAAGGCAAGGCACUGGCAGGUAGGCUGAACAGCACAGCACAGCUCACCCCUCCUCUCACCCCUCACCUCACCCCUCCUCUCAACACUCCUCGCACGCCUCGCCUCACCCCGGGUCAGUGUGGCACAGCCUGCCUGCUCUUCUGAACAAACACUUCAGCCCUGCCGACGCAGUGAGAGUCUGGAGCAGCAACACAAGGUGAUGAAGUGACACUUUGAAUAUGGGGCCUGAUGAGAGAAGUAUCCUUUUCAUGUGGUUUUGGUUUUGCCGUUGUGAGCAGGUGUGGGAGACAGCACCGUGUCUGCAUGUGAAAUAACAAAGUCAUCGCAGUGGAGGGACUCUCUGAAGGCUGCUGUUUGUGGAUUUGUCUUGUAAUGUGAGUGAUCUACUGUACUGUGAUGCCACUGUCUGUACGCACGCUGCACUGUAGGGGAGACACCGCUGGCAUUCACAGGGCAUGCCUGUUCAUUUAAAGCACGCUGCA